CAACCCUCAAGCAUUGCUUGGUGUUGGGGCACUGCUUUUAACGAAGCAGGCCCUGAAAUCUAGUGGCGAGCUCGCCAGGACCCCGAGCGUAGUAGUUAAACCCUCGCUUUGGAAGGCCCUGGCGGUGCCCUGCCGUUAAACCCCCAACUUCUGAAA
Molecule: unclassified non-coding RNA, 156 nt
Filed under: Diaporthe phyllanthicola
Lineage: Eukaryota; Fungi; Ascomycota; Sordariomycetes; Diaporthales; Diaporthaceae
Description: sequence contains ITS2
Source: RNAcentral